This 253-nucleotide ribosomal RNA is filed under the name uncultured bacterium. RNAcentral describes it as "partial 16S ribosomal RNA". It matches the Rfam family "Bacterial small subunit ribosomal RNA", at positions 524 to 776 of the family's 1533-position model. The record is from RNAcentral.
UACGUAGGGGGCUAGCGUUGUCCGGAUUUAUUGGGCGUAAAGAGCGUGUAGGCGGCCAGGUAGGUCUGGUGUGAAAACUCGAGGCUUAACCUUGAGAUGUCAUCGGAAACCAUUUGGCUAGAGUCCGGAAGAGGAAAGUGGGAUUCCUGGUGUAGCGGUGAAAUGCGCAGAUAUCAGGAAGAACACCAAUGGCGAAAGCAGCUUUCUGGGACGGUACUGACGCUGAGACGCGAAAGCGUGGGGAGCGAACAGG